GACAUUGUAUCCAACAAGCGCCCCUGCAUUAAAUAUUUCUCAGGCUAGUUCACAACAAAAAAAUGGCUUUUCCGAAGUUUGUGGAUAACAAAUUGGGCUAAUAGUCUGAAAAAUAAAAAUCAUAACUUUCCAUGCUAAUCUUAUGUUUUAAUUUUAUUGACUACAUUUGUGAGUUGCUGAAUUUAUUUCAAUUAUAUCCAUUGGUCUAGAACAUUCGUCCAUACAAACAUGUCACUAAUAUGGAAGGAAAAUAUGAAGAUAACUUACUAAAUUGGAAGAAAUGGUUCCAAUUGAGUCCUAAAAGCCACCUAAUGAUGGGGGUUUGCAAAAUUCUUCCUUCAGGAAAGUGGUUUAAAUGCCUCUUGAGAUAUUUUACAAACUCCAUCGUUUAGUAGCUUCUAGGGCUCAAGUGAAACUACAUCAUCCAAGGACCAUGUUGACUAUUUUUUAGCACAUUGGAAGUUCACCUCAAUAUUAUAUGAAUAUAGGCACACACCUUAGACCUCUAUGAUAUAAUUGAAACAAAAUUAAUAACUUAAGAACCGAAUCAAUAAAAAUUAUAGGUAUCAGCGGUAAUUAAAGAAACAAAGCAAAGUUCAUGAUUUUUGAGACCAUCAGGCCUGACAAACCAUUAGGCACAACAUAAGCAGUACAGAUCAACCAGUUAAGCUGUUGUCACAACUAAAGAUGCAUGAUGUUUUAACAACAAAAUUUUCAGAUGUAAAUUUAUUUAGACAGUGAACUUGCAAACUGUGAAUCUGUGAUUAUGUUGAUGACAGUACAAAGUAAUCAACAGAAAUGAAUGAUAUAACUUAGUUUAAUGAAAAUAAGCCACAGCAUACACAACUGUUAAUUAACAACAUGAAACCUCUUCAAUAUCAAAUCGUGGAAAUUUGUUGCUGGAAAAGGGAAAGACAGUAAUAUCAUAUCAAAUUUUGGACACUAGUUAAUCGCCUGCAGUGCAUGGGUAAGUAAUACAUUAUUCGUUUAUUUUGAUACCAAAUAUUUUGUAUUUCUGAACCAAAUACUAUACUCUAUAUAGUAAAUAUAUGGUUGUAUAAUAGAUAAAAUAUUCAACAACCUUGAUGGCCAAAAACAACAUAUGUUGCCCAAUUUACUUUCAAGGAUGGCAUUACUGCAAGUCCCAGUCACAUAUAGGAGGACUAGGUUCAGGCAAAAGCCAGUAACAGCAGUUAGGGAUGUCUGAUAGCAGUAAGAGUUGUAGCCGGAAUUGUUAGCAGGUUGUUACAGGUGGUUACAAGCUGUUAAUGGCAGUUAGAAAUGUUCUAGUCAGUUAGAAAGCAGUUAAAAUACCUGGAUAAAUAGAAGCUGAGGCUUCUUUAUAUGGCACUCAACAAAUAUCAAAGUAACUUCUAUUCUUUAUUAGAUUCUCAUCUAUUCCUUCCUAUCUUUCUAUUUGUUCUAUUUCUCCCUAUUUAUUUCUCAAAUUCUU
RNAcentral lists this unclassified non-coding RNA (1453 nucleotides) under Hevea brasiliensis (rubber tree). Lineage: Eukaryota; Viridiplantae; Streptophyta; Magnoliopsida; Malpighiales; Euphorbiaceae. The record is from RNAcentral.